UGGGGAAUAUUGGACAAUGGGCGAAAGCCUGAUCCAGCCAUGCCGCGUGUGUGAAGAAGGUCUUCGGAUUGUAAAGCACUUUAAGUUGGGAGGAAGGGCAUUAACCUAAUACGUUAGUGUUUUGACGUUACCGACAGAAUAAGCACCGGCUAACUCUGUGCCAGCAGCCGCGGUAAUACAGAGGGUGCAAGCGUUAAUCGGAAUUACUGGGCGUAAAGCGCGCGUAGGUGGUUUGUUAAGUUGGAUGUGAAAUCCCCGGGCUCAACCUGGGAACUGCAUUCAAAACUGACUGACUAGAGUAUGGUAGAGGGUGGUGGAAUUUCCUGUGUAGCGGUGAAAUGCGUAGAUAUAGGAAGGAACACCAUUCGCGAAGGCGACCACCUGGACUAAUACUGACACUGAGGUGCGAAAGCGUGGGGAGCAAACA
This 427-nucleotide ribosomal RNA is filed under the name uncultured bacterium. RNAcentral describes it as "partial 16S ribosomal RNA". It matches the Rfam family "Bacterial small subunit ribosomal RNA", at positions 355 to 774 of the family's 1533-position model. The record is from RNAcentral.